CGGCCGCACGUUAAUUAAUCGAAAAACAGGGAUAGUGUAUAGAAUAAAAGUGACAUUUUUAUAGUUUUACAUUUUGUCUGGUUGAAUAAAGAGAGUUAUUUGCUUGCUGGAGGUUUUGAAGAAUUGUGCUGUAGGGUUGCCCCCUUCCGAAAGACGCAUGCUCCGAAGAGCUCUGGAUACAAAGUCUUCCGGAAAAGUAGCUUGCGACACAGUCGAUGAAAGAGAAGACGCAGACGCAGAAACUUUGGCGAACGCUCUCAAUACUGCUUCUCUUCUCGAGUCGAAGUCUCCCUUGAGGACGGAGAGACGACGAUUUUUAAAGGCACGAAAAGAACGCCACAUCUUGACACUGCUCGUUCGAGGAUUCAGACCUGUACAGAAGGUAUCACAUGUCGAGGAUCACCAGAUAGCCGGUGGGGUCUCUGACCUUCGAGUACCUGACGUCCUUUUACCUCCAUUAUCCAGAAGAUGCGACUUGAUACAGUCCGUCAGUGCCUCGUACGUCGCAAGGACAAAAAAACUGCCCGCGGCGAACUCAUAGGGAGAAUUGUUCAUUGACUGUCUAAAGCUGUCCUAGUCAACCCCCGAUGCAUUCAAUGAGGGUCGAACCAGCAUAGGCAGAGUGGUCAGUUCAUUGAUCCGCACGACCGUAGGAAAAUGGUCACUGAUGUAAUUAUCCAACACCUUCGUGCUGACAAUCACAGCCAGGGAAGACGAAGCAAAGAUGUAGUCCAACACGGAUCUGAGGGAACCGUCAGCCGACGUCCACGUCGGUUCUCCCGUUCCCACAUUCACACAAUUAGACAUAGAGAGAACAAAUUCUAGCCUCUUCAUUAUAAGAAGUUGGCAGGAAAGAUCAAGCUGGCAUAUGAAUAUUGAAGUCAUCCAUUAGGAUUACGUCCUUGAAAAGACUGUCUAUCGAAUCAAAAAACUGAUUCCAGAAAGAUACUUCGGUUUCAUCGGAAGCGCUACGUGAAGGGCUAUAUAUAGAACCAAUAGUUAGAUUUUUCUUAUUUUUUAAGUGAACAUUGAUAAUUACUAAAUCUACUUUAUUAUCUUGACACAAUCUUUGAAGCAGCAACAACUCGAAACGUGAGAAAUUCAGCUUUGUGCUGAUCAACAUACCUGCGCCACCUCCAGAUGAGGACAAUCUGGGUAAGUUGACAAAGGUGAAGCCUCUGAUAGGACAUCUGUACAUAUUCUGAAUGGAUUGUGGAAUUCUCGUCUCGGAGAUACAUACUACAUCCGGCGACUCCUCCUCGAUGAGAGUGAUGAGAUCGACUGUUCUAGCAAGAAGAGAACGGACGUUCCAAUGUAUAAUUUUUAAGUCACCUAUAACCGAACUUUUCCUCUGAGUAGUCAUUGCACUUUUACUAGAUUAUGGAUUUUCGACUAUGUCAAAUGUCGAAAAUAUACUAGUUAAAUCAGUUAAAAAAAUUUCAAUUCGCUGAUAUUUUUCUUAUUUAACAGGAACGUCCUGGGGUCUGCAGGAAAGGUGGCAUCCGCACCUGACCCGCUGCCUUCCGCCAUAGAAAAGUUAUUCUUCAAGAAGGAUAACAAAAAUUUAGACAUGAUGGAGUUGGAGCUACCCAAAAACUCCUGAAGACUCAGGCAAAAGUCCUCACUGGUCCCACGAGGAAAGAUGUACGGGCUAUCGUUGAAUAUCCUCCUGAAGGCCUGUUUGGACUGCGAAGCCCUCUCCGCCGGGGUCAGCUGAGUUUGUUACAUCAUAGAAGAACUCCCUUUUCUACGAGAAGAUAGUCUUUUAAAUGCGAGGUAAACAUCGCCGACGACUUUCCCUCUUUUCUUCCUUUCAUCUCUCCUCUUCUUUAAAACCUGUAAGGAGGAGAGAAAGCCUCUCUGCCCACGAGGUUGAUCUGCUGAGGAAGUCCACGAAACCCCGGAUCGUGACCCCGAAAAGGCAUCACCCCAGGUCUUGACGCUCUUCUGUCCAUCCCCUUUCUUUUCUUUACUCCUAGAACUGACCUUUGGUUUAGUCAGAAUCUCAGCAUACAUGAUUGGUUUUAGCUUCUUUAUCAGCCGAGCUAAAAAUCCUCAAGCGAGGGAGGGGGGAGGAAGCCACUAAACGUGGAAUCCUCUUAUUCUUCCUCGUUACCGCUUGCACGGAUAAAUUUUUCCGCAUCCGCUGCGCCUAAACAAUGCACAGCCAUGAUGCGCCUUACAUUGCGAUUGUGAAUAAACACGGGACACUUCUCGCUCGUGGCCCGAUGAUUGGAGUCUGCGAGCUUGUCCUGCUCACAAUUCACACAUAAUUCCUGAUCCAAGAAGCAAUCCAAUAUCGAGUGCCCUUCCCUGGAGCACUUUUCACAAACUGCUGGAUCCUUAAGCCUUUUGCAAUAGUUCUUAGUGUGACCAAAGCGCAUGCAGUGACCACACUAAGUAACCUUGCCUGUAUAAGGGCGUAUCUAAAUUUUUUUACCCAACAGAAACACAAACGUCGGCAAACAGAAGUUUUCGAAUGUUGCAACGUAAAGUUUAGAAUCCUGCAUGGUGAAGUUCUGAGGAUUAUCCGAAUUCGGCACACGUCUUUUCAUACGUUUCACUCGGAGUGGCGAAGAUCACUUGCCCCUCCAAUUGUGAGUCGGACGUAAUUUUUCACGGAUAAAAUCGACAUCGAAAUCACACUCAUCGAUGCCGAAUAGGACCGCCUUUUUAUAUAUUUAUCCUGUAAUCAGGAAUAUAUGACACUCGGAUUUGGCCUGCCACCAGUUUCUCGCUCAGCGGAGCCAUCUUCGCCAGGAAGGAUUUAGUCAAAUCUGCAUUGAAAAAAGACAUCAUAAAUUUAGUGUCCAAGAUUUUCCUAAAGUCAAACGAGACCGAUGUGUAAUAACUAACUAUCGGUUGGUCAUGCAAUGUCUUAUCCAAUCUUAAGGUACUAGUUGUACUAUUAGCUUGAGACGGAGCAGAUGGCAUCAUAUUGCACAGACUAAACCGUUAAUUUCUCCAGGAAAACAAUGUAUGGACCAUUACUGCCCUUCGAAUACUUAUUGAAAAUAGUUUCCGGGGCCUGAGGAUGAUAAUCAUGGGAGCGGUGCACUUGGACACGGUGCAUUUGGACACAGCCAAUCACAGCACCGUGUGAUUAGAGACAUUUGUAGGGUCCCUUGGAACAGCGACUUGUGAUUGGACUGUGUCCAAUUGCCCCGUGUCCAACUGAUAUACACCCGAUAAUCAUUAUCCCCUGGUCUAUUCAAGUCUAAAGACACAGAAUUUCCCUGAUCCCUCUCUUCAAGACCAAUUCCAGCGGUAGGAAGAGGAAAGGAGCCAGCUACAACUAGCGGAGUUUGUCCCUCGCCCUGCUGGGUCCUUCCAUCUCCAUCCGCAGAGGUUAUGGAUUCACUUUCAGAUAGUCUUAUUUUUUUAACGCUCCUUCUCUGCGUCUUCGGGGUGUGAGCCGAAGCUUUUCUCCCUAGCAGAUAAGAAUUACCUUGAGAAAGCUCAAUAGGUAAGGUUGCCUCGGUCAACCUCUUCCUUAAUUUGUCUGUGGUUUUGGUCAGAGAAAGACUGGGUGAGCUUAAUCUCUUAACCAUUACACUUUUAUCCGAGCAAAACCGCUGGACCUGUUGCUUUUCCUCUUCCCACGCCCGCAGGCCUUUGCUCAAAUGUGGAACGAUCCAGUUCCACAGCCACCGUACCUUGCUCAUCAGGAUUGGGAGAGGACUUCCAAAUCCUUCGUACUGAGGUCAAAAAGCAUCCCCGAAGCCGAGGAUGAUGCAUUUUGCUGAUCCAUGCUCGCGUAUCACUAGUCGAGAACACGUGGCUAUCACGCAUAUCACGACCAUAUCACACGCGUAUGAUCAUGUGCUAACCACGCGUUUCAGUGUUUAUGCCGUGCCAAUAAAGCGCACACGCGAUCACGUGAUACCAACACGCACCGGGCACGAUACUUUUACUAGCGUCAGAAAAAUUUCAAUUUGUUGAAAAAUAAUAAAUCGUAAUCAGAACCAAAGGAAAACCGGGUCGAAAUUAAAAAAAAAUUGCAUAAAUGUUAAAUGAAAUAAAUCGUAGGCGUUCACACAGGAAUUUCUCGAAAACCUUAAUUAAUUUCAAAACGAGAGGCAACCAAGCUUACGAUCCACUCAGUGCGAGCGUUGAAGGCCAACUCGACUCGAGUCGUAGCUAAUCGUAAGCCCGUAUCAAAAGUAUAUGCAUUAUAAUCUUUGAGUAGCGUAUAUAAAUAAUUGUUACGUUUUAGCAUUGACCGACUGGAGUCGGCAGUCGUAGUCGGCAGUCGAGUCGGCCUAUGCAGUCGGUAGUCUGAUACGAGUUUUCUUUAGAGACUCUAGAGAUUGGGUACUUUUCAUUUAAUAACACAAGUCGAUAUAAACAUCAUUUUGUCUUUGUUCCAUAUUCAAUAAGUAACUAAGAUAGGAUGAUGCUUGUGUCGACUUGUGUUAUUAAAUGGAAAGCACCCACUCUGAGAUUCAGAGUCUGAGUCAGAUCUCUGAUCAUACUGGAUAGUGUACGCCUUUGUUCUCGAGCGUUCAGAAAGAAAUAGUUGAGUGGAAACGGUGUACCUUUGUCUAACCAGCUCGAGGUGACUCCACAUCACAUGACUCCAUGUAUAACCCACUCUGAAACAUUAACCUCCACACAUAUUUCCCAUACAUCGAAACAGUAUAUUUAUAUAUAAUAUAUAUAAAAGAAAAUAAAUGAGCGAGAGAAAGAGACAGGUAGUCAUAUGUCUGUCUCCUUCUACUUGCCCGAUCCCCUUUUUCUCACACGGACACAACGUGCGUUUGUACGUGCGCUUGUAUGUGUCAUCUCUGGCUACCGCGUGCUACGAAGAGCUCCAAGCCUGGUAGCACUGGUAAGCAACUGGAUAUAAAGAACGACUAAAUUACGCAUCGGAUGUAUCGGGUUAUAUCCUUUGACUAUAUAAGUAUGGACUGCCAGUUAUCUCCACUUUUCCUAUUCUCACAAUGCUUCGCUAUGUAAUUAACAUCACGCGUGUCUUCAAAGGAUUCAAAUGUCAAAAAAUCAAAACGAAGUCAGAUUUCGAUGGUAAAACAGGAAGGAAGAGAGAGAUGGAAUAUGACAUACGCCCCAAUCAACACAUUCAGUUGUGGCUAUAUAACUUGGAAGUAACAAGUUAUAUAACGAAUUUGUUAUAACAGUUAUAUUACAGCUAUGAAAUUUUACUAUUUUCUUUUUACAUAACUGCUCAAUCAGCACAUUCAGUUGCUGCUAUAUAACCUGAACGUAAAAAAGGUAUAUAAGGAAUACAUUAUAACAGUUUACAUUUCUGUAAUUUUAAUGUCGUUCUACAUAAUUGCUGAGUCAACACAUUCAAUUACUGCUAUAUAAUCUGGAAAUAAAACAGUUAUAUAACGAAUAUAUUAUAACAAGUAUAUUAUAACAGUUCUUUUUAAUUUUAAUGUCCUUUCUAUAAUUGUAUAAACCCACUCGGUGGUUAUUUUCGUGCUGCAUU
This is a long non-coding RNA of Odontomachus brunneus, 5452 nucleotides long. RefSeq lists it as uncharacterized. The transcript has 3 exons. The record is from RefSeq and is a predicted model, not a curated record. Lineage: Eukaryota; Metazoa; Arthropoda; Insecta; Hymenoptera; Formicidae.